Molecule: RNase P RNA, 353 nt
Filed under: Limnohabitans sp.
Lineage: Bacteria; Pseudomonadati; Pseudomonadota; Betaproteobacteria; Burkholderiales; Comamonadaceae
Description: RNase P RNA component class A
Rfam family: Bacterial RNase P class A
About the family: Ribonuclease P (RNase P) is a ubiquitous endoribonuclease, found in archaea, bacteria and eukarya as well as chloroplasts and mitochondria.
Source: RNAcentral
GAAGCACGCCAGACCGUCGCUGGUGCAAGCCGCAAGGCCCAGGCCGAAAGGCAUGGGGUGGAAACACCGCACUGGAGGAACGUCCGGACUGCACAGGACAGCGCAGGAGGUAACACCUCUCCACCGUGAGGUGAGGAUCAGAGCAACAGAGACGAGUCGCAGCGGGCAACCGCUGCGGGUGAAACGGGCAAUCUCUGCGCGCAGCAAUACCAAGUAGGCCAGCGUUGAUGUGGUUCCGCAGAGUUGGCGGGUAGGUAGCACCGAGCCGUGUGGGUGACCCACGGCCCAGAUUAAUGGCGGUCACAUGGGGGCAACCCCAUGCACAGAAUCCGGCGUAUCGGCGGGCUUCACAC